UCCGGUGACGAUGAUGAGGAGGUCACACCUGUUCCCAUUCCGAACACAGCAGUUAAGCUCCUAGAUGCAGACAAUAGUUAGAUGGAGACGUCUUGUGAAGAUAUGUAGUUGCCGGAU
Molecule: ribosomal RNA, 117 nt
Filed under: Oscillospiraceae bacterium
Lineage: Bacteria; Bacillati; Bacillota; Clostridia; Eubacteriales; Oscillospiraceae
Source: RNAcentral